Molecule: ribosomal RNA, 493 nt
Filed under: uncultured bacterium
Lineage: Bacteria
Description: partial 16S ribosomal RNA
Rfam family: Bacterial small subunit ribosomal RNA
Source: RNAcentral
CGAACGCUGGCGGCGUGCCUACUACAUGCAAGUAGAACGCUGAAGGAGGAGCUUGCUCUUCUGGAUGAGUUGCGAACGGGUGAGUAACGCGUAGGUAACCUGCCUGGUAGCGGGGGAUAACUAUUGGAAACGAUAGCUAAUACCGCAUAACAGUAGAUGUUGCAUGACAUUUACUUAAAAGGUGCAAUUGCAUCACUACCAGAUGGACCUGCGUUGUAUUAGCUAGUUGGUGGGGUAACGGCUCACCAAGGCGACGAUACAUAGCCGACCUGAGAGGGUGAUCGGCCACACUGGGACUGAGACACGGCCCAGACUCCUACGGGAGGCAGCAGUAGGGAAUCUUCGGCAAUGGACGGAAGUCUGACCGAGCAACGCCGCGUGAGUGAAGAAGGUUUUCGGAUCGUAAAGCUCGGUUGUAAGAGAAGAACGAGUGUGAGAGUGGAAAGUUCACACUGUGACGGUAUCUUACCAGAAAGAGACGGCUAACUACGUG